This 709-nucleotide ribosomal RNA is filed under the name Enterobacteriaceae bacterium b62(2010). RNAcentral describes it as "bacterial SSU rRNA". It matches the Rfam family "Bacterial small subunit ribosomal RNA", at positions 56 to 755 of the family's 1533-position model. Lineage: Bacteria; Pseudomonadati; Pseudomonadota; Gammaproteobacteria; Enterobacterales; Enterobacteriaceae. The record is from RNAcentral.
UGCAAGUCGGACGGUAGCACAGGGGAGCUUGCUCCCCGGGUGACGAGUGGCGGACGGGUGAGUAAUGUCUGGGAAACUGCCCGGUGGAGGGGGAUAACUACUGGAAACGGUAGCUAAUACCGCAUAACGUCUUCGGACCAAAGUGGGGGAUCUUCGGACCUCACGCCACCGGAUGUGCCCAGAUGGGAUUAGCUAGUAGGUGGGGUAACGGCUCACCUAGGCGACGAUCCCUAGCUGGUCUGAGAGGAUGACCAGCCACACUGGAACUGAGACACGGUCCAGACUCCUACGGGAGGCAGCAGUGGGGAAUAUUGCACAAUGGGCGCAAGCCUGAUGCAGCCAUGCCGCGUGUAUGAAGAAGGCCUUCGGGUUGUAAAGUACUUUCAGCGGGGAGGAAGGCGGUGAGGUUAAUAACCUCGCCGAUUGACGUUACCCGCAGAAGAAGCACCGGCUAACUCCGUGCCAGCAGCCGCGGUAAUACGGAGGGUGCAAGCGUUAAUCGGAAUUACUGGGCGUAAAGCGCACGCAGGCGGUCUGUUAAGUCAGAUGUGAAAUCCCCGGGCUUAACCUGGGAACUGCAUUUGAAACUGGCAGGCUUGAGUCUCGUAGAGGGGGGUAGAAUUCCAGGUGUAGCGGUGAAAUGCGUAGAGAUCUGGAGGAAUACCGGUGGCGAAGGCGGCCCCCUGGACGAAGACUGACGCUCAGUGCG